UGGGAACGUACCUUUUGGUUCGGAACAACCCAGGGAAACUUGGGCUAAUACCGGAUAAGUCCGUAAGGAGAAAGAUUUAUCGCCAAAAGAUCGGCCCGCGUCUGAUUAGCUAGUUGGUGAGGUAACGGUUCACCAAGGCUUCGACGGGUAGCCGGCCUGAGAGGGCGACCGGCCACACUGGGACUGAGAUACGGCCCAGACUCCUACGGGAGGCAG
Molecule: ribosomal RNA, 216 nt
Filed under: uncultured bacterium
Lineage: Bacteria
Description: partial 16S ribosomal RNA
Rfam family: Bacterial small subunit ribosomal RNA
Source: RNAcentral